AGAAAAGCAAAGAUCAAGAGGAGUAUUUAGUAAGCCUACUUUUAGAGAGAAGAUGAGGGUGGAACAUUUUCAGUAGGAGCUAAAGAAGGUAGCUUGGGAGUUAUUUAGCUGAAGGCAGUAAGCUGAAUCGGAUCGUGACCGUUAACACACGCUAAAGGGGUAGAGUAAGCUCUACAAUUUAGGUGGUACCGCGUAUCUUACGUCCUAAUG
This 210-nucleotide non-coding RNA is filed under the name Enterococcus italicus. RNAcentral describes it as "T-box sequence". It matches the Rfam family "T-box leader". Rfam says of the family: Uncharged tRNA acts as the effector for transcription antitermination of genes in the T-box leader family. T-boxes are found upstream of many aminoacyl-tRNA synthetase genes and some amino acid biosynthetic genes usually in Gram-positive bacteria. The anticodon of a specific tRNA base pairs to a specifier sequence within the T-box motif, and the NCCA acceptor tail of the tRNA base pairs to a conserved bulge in the T-box antiterminator hairpin. The record is from RNAcentral. Lineage: Bacteria; Bacillati; Bacillota; Bacilli; Lactobacillales; Enterococcaceae.